RNAcentral lists this ribosomal RNA (311 nucleotides) under uncultured Enterobacter sp. Its description in RNAcentral is "bacterial SSU rRNA". It matches the Rfam family "Bacterial small subunit ribosomal RNA", at positions 31 to 340 of the family's 1533-position model. Lineage: Bacteria; Pseudomonadati; Pseudomonadota; Gammaproteobacteria; Enterobacterales; Enterobacteriaceae. The record is from RNAcentral.
GAACGCUGGCGGCAGGCCUAACACAUGCAAGUCGAACGGUAGCACAGAGAGCUUGCUCUCGGGUGACGAGUGGCGGACGGGUGAGUAAUGUCUGGGAAACUGCCUGAUGGAGGGGGAUAACUACUGGAAACGGUAGCUAAUACCGCAUAACGUCGCAAGACCAAAGAGGGGGACCUUCGGGCCUCUUGCCAUCAGAUGUGCCCAGAUGGGAUUAGCUAGUAGGUGGGGUAACGGCUCACCUAGGCGACGAUCCCUAGCUGGUCUGAGAGGAUGACCAGCCACACUGGAACUGAGACACGGUCCAGACUCCU